Molecule: ribosomal RNA, 300 nt
Filed under: uncultured Vulcanisaeta sp.
Lineage: Archaea; Thermoproteati; Thermoproteota; Thermoprotei; Thermoproteales; Thermoproteaceae
Description: bacterial SSU rRNA
Rfam family: Bacterial small subunit ribosomal RNA
Source: RNAcentral
GCAAACGCGGGGCCGGGUGGCGGGGUAAUACGGAGGGUGGAAGCGUGAAUCGGAAUUACGGGGCGUAAAGCGCACGGAGUGGGUAUGGUCAGUCAGAUGUGAAAGCCCCGGGCUCAACCUGGGAACGGAACCUGAUACUGCCAGACUAGAGUACGGUAGAGGGUAGUGGAAUUUCCGGUGUAGCGGUGAAAUGCGUAGAGAUCGGAAGGAACACCAGUGGCGAAGGCGACUGCCUGGACCGAUACUGACACUGAGGUGCGAAAGCGUGGGUAGCAAACAGGAUUAGAUACCCCGGUAGUC